UACGUAGGGGGCGAGCGUUGUCCGGAAUUAUUGGGCGUAAAGGGCGCGCAGGCGGUCUGUUAAGUCUGAUGUAAAAGGCCAGGGCUUAACCCUGGUGCGCAUUGGAAACUGGCAGACUUGAGUGCAGGAGAGGGGAGUGGAAUUCCAUGUGUAGCGGUGAAAUGCGUAGAGAUAUGGAGGAACACCAGUGGCGAAGGCGGCUCUCUGGCCUGCAACUGACGCUGAGGCGCGAAAGCGUGGGGAGCAAACA
This 250-nucleotide ribosomal RNA is filed under the name uncultured bacterium. Its description in RNAcentral is "partial 16S ribosomal RNA". It matches the Rfam family "Bacterial small subunit ribosomal RNA", at positions 524 to 774 of the family's 1533-position model. The record is from RNAcentral.